GUGUGGUUUAUAGAUCUAUAGGUCUUAGGUAGUAAAAAAAUGAAUUAAAAAAAUAAAUAAAAGACAGGUUGUUAUUUGUUCAAUGCUAACUUUAGAAGCUGCGUGUAGAGAGAAAAUGACAGAAGUGUUAAGAGGCCUAAUAAAGGCUGAGCUGAUGAUUGUAGUUUGACUUCUGCUCUUUCUGUUCUAUAGUUUUAACCACAGCGGGGAAGAUAGUUAUUCUUAUUCUGCAUCUUUAAUUUCAUAAACCUCAAAAUAUUACCACAAGAGCAAAAGAUUCCCAGCAAUUUUAUUUACUUCCCCUUCUUAGAAACCCUGUCUAAUAUCAGAGUAUCUGUUUUCUUAUAUUUUAUUUGACAGUAAAGCAGCAAUAAUACCAGCCGGUGAAGCAACAUUUCUAGUGAGAGGUUUCUGCCAGAAUUUAAUAACAGAUACACUGGAUUACUUGUUCAUUAUCUCAAUCAUUGUGCAAAAGUAAAAUAGUUGUCAUUAACCGGGCUGCUGCUAUUGUUGACAUGAGGAUAACUCAAAUAAGAGCAGGACUUACGUGAACAGGCCUACAUUAUUCACCUCAUGGUUUUACUUUAUUCACUGGUCUGUCUGUAAUGUGUGCAGCUCUGGCUGUGAACAACAAAAUAAUGCAGUGUGAGAACAAUUUUCAAGAAGAAAAACAGCUUUAACAACUUGCAUGCACUGAAAGAGCAGCAAAAUAUCUUAGAAUGGAUCUCUUUUUCUUCCUGUUUUGUGUUUCUGUGUAGAGUUGUGUCUCCUCCCUCAUCUCUUCUUGAACUCUGAAACACAGGAAGUGUCUGAUUUAGCGACGCAUCACUGUUAAAACAGUCUGUUAAUGUGUCAGUAUGGGGUCCAGUGCACUGCCUCUCAUGCUCUGUGAGUAUUUCAUUAUAUUCUACUCUAUCUUCAGUUUUUCUGUUAUUAACAGUAUUCAGCUGAAGAUAAAUUAAUGUUUGUGUGUAGGAGGCUCUGUGUAUUCUUUAUUGUUCAGAUUAAUGUGAUGAUAUGUUACGUGUGGAUCAGAUACAGAGUUUCAGAGAACAUGCAUUUAUCUGUGCUGCUUGUGAAAGAUGGAGGCUCUGUGGACAUGUGCUUUUGCUGUUUAUGAUGUGAUACUCUUUCUUCUUAUUUUCAGCAGUUCAGUUCAAUCAGAUGUAUUUGUGUUAAUAUGAGUUUGGUGUUGUAUGGUAUUGUAUUUUUAAAUAGUUUCUCACACAAGUUUCUCAAUCACUUUCAUUCUUUCUGUUCCUCUUAUUGAAAAUAGAUUCCAAAAAUCACACUUAAAAAUGACUGAAUUUCACUGCAUUAAACACAAUAUAUCAAACAAGUGACAGCUGCCAAAAAAGAAGAAAAAAAAUAUGUUCAUGCUUUUCUCAGAAUUAACGUCAUUUUUUCCUAAUUAUUUUUAGCCAGUUUGUCUCAGUGUAAUUUUUAGCUUAUGUGUGAAGUCAGUUCUCACAUUCUCAGCAGAAAAACCACAGCUGUAGUUCAGUACGUUAACAUAUGAACAUGUUGUGUUCCACAUGUUUUCAAUAUAUAUAUAUAUAUAUAUAUAUAUAUAUAUAAAAUCAAAAAUAGUUUCUAAUAUUAUUUUUUACAUGAGAAUUUUUGUUUUGUAGAUUACAAAUAGAAUUUAAAUAAUUGUCUUACUUCAACUAAAAAAUAAAAAAUAAAGAAGCAAAUAAAUAAGAAUCA
Cyprinus carpio (common carp) is the source of this 1707-nucleotide long non-coding RNA. The record is from Ensembl. Lineage: Eukaryota; Metazoa; Chordata; Actinopteri; Cypriniformes; Cyprinidae.